This 381-nucleotide ribosomal RNA is filed under the name uncultured eukaryote. RNAcentral's name for it is "partial 18S ribosomal RNA". It matches the Rfam family "Eukaryotic small subunit ribosomal RNA", at positions 592 to 976 of the family's 1831-position model. The record is from RNAcentral.
CAAUAGCGUAUAUUAAAGCUGUUGCGGUUAAAAAGCUCGUAGUUGGAUUUCUGUCAAGGACAACUGGUCCGCCCUCCGGGUGAGCACAUAGUUUGGUCUUGGCAUCUUGCUGGAAACUGUUGCUGCGCUUGGUUGUGUGGUGCAGCUUUCAGCACUUUCACUUUGAGGAAAUUGGAGUGUUUCAAGCAGGCACAUGCCUUUGGACACAGUAGCAUGGAAUAAUUAGAUUGGGCUUUUGCUCCAACUUGUUGGUUCCUGGAGCUGAGGUGAGAAUCAAUGGGGAUUGUUGGGGGCAUCCGAAUUUAGCCGUCAGAGGUGAAAUUCUUGGAUCUGCUAAAGACGGACAACUGCGAAAGCGUUCGCCCAGGAUGUUUUCAUUGA